CGACAGCCAGCCUGGUGGCUCUGGUCCUGCUCUACACAUCAUGUCUUUCCUUACAGAGCCCCACAGGCAGCCCCGUGCAGGCCCUGCCAGUGAGUCCAGGGUUUUAUUUCAAGCCGUCCUUCCCCGUCAAGCUCAUCGCCUGCGUUUGGCCACACACUCGCAGCUCUCCGAGCACAGCUGGUUUUUUCCUCUUUGUUUACUCUUUCAACAAAAGCUGGAUUCUAGACCAAGCUGUUAAGUCCUGGAGAUGCAGAAAGGAACAAGACAAACACAGGCUCAGCCCUCCAAAGCUUUCAGAAACAAGACCGACCACAAAGUGACUGAGCCAGUUAACCCAGGCAAGAGUAAUGAUCAAUAAAAGACUUCCAAGCAUAAAAACAGGAGGUAUUUUCAUCAAAUCUUGCCAGCAGAUUACAAGUUCAAGGAGAAAAAGAAAUGAUGCAACGUUUCCAACAAUUAGAGCCAAGUUUUUUGCGUGUUUUUUACAUCAGCGAUGGCGGAUGUCAGAUCACUGUGGCACUGAGUUUCCUCUGGACACACCUGAAAAGCAAAUAAUUCUAGAGCGCCGGCUGUGUGCUGUGCCCUCUGCUAGAGACAC
Molecule: long non-coding RNA, 598 nt
Filed under: Equus caballus (horse)
Lineage: Eukaryota; Metazoa; Chordata; Mammalia; Perissodactyla; Equidae
Description: lncRNA (ENSECAG00000048520.1)
Source: RNAcentral